RNAcentral lists this ribosomal RNA (253 nucleotides) under uncultured bacterium. RNAcentral describes it as "partial 16S ribosomal RNA". It matches the Rfam family "Bacterial small subunit ribosomal RNA", at positions 524 to 776 of the family's 1533-position model. The record is from RNAcentral.
GACGAACCGUGCGAACGUUGUUCGGAAUCACUGGGCUUAAAGGGCGCGUAGGCGGGUUCUCAAGUCUGGAGUGAAAGCCCGCGGCUCAACCGCGGAAGCGCUUCGGAUACUGGGGGCCUCGAGGGGGGUAGGGGCGUGCGGAACUUCCGGUGGAGCGGUGAAAUGCGUAGAUAUCGGAAGGAACACCGGUGGCGAAAGCGGCGCGCUGGACCCCUUCUGACGCUGAGGCGCGAAAGCCAGGGGAGCAAACGGG